This 552-nucleotide ribosomal RNA is filed under the name Clostridium sp. Its description in RNAcentral is "bacterial SSU rRNA". It matches the Rfam family "Bacterial small subunit ribosomal RNA", at positions 362 to 930 of the family's 1533-position model. Lineage: Bacteria; Bacillati; Bacillota; Clostridia; Eubacteriales; Clostridiaceae. The record is from RNAcentral.
UAUUGCGCAAUGGGGGAAACCCUGACGCAGCAACGCCGCGUGGGUGAUGAAGGUCUUCGGAUUGUAAAGCCCUGUUUUCUGGGACGAUAAUGACGGUACCAGAGGAGGAAGCCACGGCUAACUACGUGCCAGCAGCCGCGGUAAUACGUAGGUGGCGAGCGUUGUCCGGAUUUACUGGGCGUAAAGGGUGCGUAGGCGGAUGUUUAAGUGGGAUGUGAAAUCCCCGGGCUUAACCUGGGGGCUGCAUUCCAAACUGGAUAUCUAGAGUGCAGGAGAGGAAAGCGGAAUUCCUAGUGUAGCGGUGAAAUGCGUAGAGAUUAGGAAGAACACCAGUGGCGAAGGCGGCUUUCUGGACUGUAACUGACGCUGAGGCACGAAAGCGUGGGUAGCAAACAGGAUUAGAUACCCUGGUAGUCCACGCCGUAAACGAUGGAUACUAGGUGUAGGGGGUAUCAACUCCCCCUGUGCCGCAGUUAACACAAUAAGUAUCCCGCCUGGGGAGUACGGUCGCAAGAUUAAAACUCAAAGGAAUUGACGGGGGCCCGCACAAGA